UACGGGGGGGGCAAGCGUUGUUCGGAAUUACUGGGCGUAAAGGGCUCGUAGGCGGCCAACUAAGUCAGACGUGAAAUCCCUCGGCUUAACCGGGGAACUGCCUCUGAUACUGGAUGGCUUGAGAUUGGGAGAGGGAUGCGGAAUUCCAGGUGUAGCGGUGAAAUGCGUAGAUAUCUGGAGGAACACCGGUGGCGAAGGCGGCAUCCUGGACCAACACUGACACUGAUGAGCGAAAGCCAGGGGAGCAAACGGG
Molecule: ribosomal RNA, 253 nt
Filed under: uncultured bacterium
Lineage: Bacteria
Description: partial 16S ribosomal RNA
Rfam family: Bacterial small subunit ribosomal RNA
Source: RNAcentral